Cnephaeus nilssonii (northern bat) is the source of this 71-nucleotide non-coding RNA. The record is from the annotation of a GenBank genome assembly. Lineage: Eukaryota; Metazoa; Chordata; Mammalia; Chiroptera; Vespertilionidae.
GUGGAUAGUAUAGUGGUUAUGACGUUGGGUUCUGACCCUCAACUCCCUGGGUUCAAAUCUCAGCAUUCCCA